GAUGAACGCUGGCGGCGUGCCUAAUACAUGCAAGUCGAGCGAACAGACGAGGAGCUUGCUCCUCUGACGUUAGCGGCGGACGGGCGAGUAACACGUGGAUAACCUACCUAUAAGACUGGGAUAACUUCGGGAAACCGGAGCUAAUACCGGAUAAUAUAUUGAACCGCAUGGUUCAAUAGUGUAAGACGGUUUUGCUGUCACUUAUAGAUGGAUCCGCGCCGCAUUAGCUAGUUGGUAAGGUAACGGCUUACCAAGGCAACGAUGCGUAGCCGACCUGAGAGGGUGAUCGGCCACACUGGAACUGAGACACGGUCCAGACUCCUACGGGAGGCAGCAGUAGGGAAUCUUCCGCAAUGGGCGAAAGCCUGACGGAGCAACGCCGCGUGAGUGAUGAAGGUCUUCGGAUCGUAAAACUCUGUUAUUAGGGAAGAACAAAUGUGUAAGUAACUAUGCACGUCUUGACGGUACCUAAUCAGAAAGCCACGGCUAACUACGUG
This 497-nucleotide ribosomal RNA is filed under the name uncultured bacterium. RNAcentral describes it as "partial 16S ribosomal RNA". It matches the Rfam family "Bacterial small subunit ribosomal RNA", at positions 28 to 507 of the family's 1533-position model. The record is from RNAcentral.